UACGUAGGGUGCAAGCGUUGUCCGGAAUUAUUGGGCGUAAAGAGCUCGUAGGCGGUUUGUCGCGUCGGCUGUGAAAGCCCGGAGCUCAACUCCGGGUCUGCAGUCGAUACGGGCAGACUAGAGGUAUGCAGGGGAGAACGGAAUUCCUGGUGUAGCGGUGAAAUGCGCAGAUAUCAGGAGGAACACCGGUGGCGAAGGCGGUUCUCUGGGCAGUAACUGACGCUGAGGAGCGAAAGCGUGGGGAGCGAACAGG
RNAcentral lists this ribosomal RNA (253 nucleotides) under uncultured bacterium. RNAcentral's name for it is "partial 16S ribosomal RNA". It matches the Rfam family "Bacterial small subunit ribosomal RNA", at positions 524 to 776 of the family's 1533-position model. The record is from RNAcentral.